GUUCCAACCCGGGUUAGCCAGGGUGGGUUCUAUCCUUAUUUUAAUAAAGGGUUUUAGUACGAAAGGCCCAAAUCCUUGAAUUAUAAUUUUUUUUCCUGGAAUUUUAUUAAUUU
RNAcentral lists this ribosomal RNA (113 nucleotides) under Exoprosopa stellifera. RNAcentral's name for it is "partial 16S ribosomal RNA". Lineage: Eukaryota; Metazoa; Arthropoda; Insecta; Diptera; Bombyliidae. The record is from RNAcentral.